CCACAGUUAAGGUCAACUCCAUCUGAGAAAGGUGCUACUACACAGGCUGCAUCAGCCAGAGUCUGGGCAUCAUGGGAAGCGAACUGCACUAUCAGGGGCCGGUCACCUGAGGAGGAAAGGAUAAAACAAACAAUGAUUGUGAAAAGCAGCUCCAUCGGUGCAAAAGUGCAUGGCUGCAAUACCAAAAGGACAAGCCCAAGCUACGGGUCACAUGAGUUGUGUGGUGAAAAGACAAAAAGUGAAAUACACUGAGGCAGUGGUGCAAGAGGUCCCCCAAUCAAUACCUACUGUUCCUCAGCUUUCAUCAGAUCAGGACUGCCAAUUGUGGAGGCAUCUUCUGAGGAAACCCCCCUGGCACAGAAAUGCUCAAGAAACGUUGAACUAAUGGAAUAAGCACUAAUGCUACAGUAGUUUUUUCCACACCCUGAAGACAAUCAGUAGACCAGAUUAGAGAUUAGAGAGCAAUUAUGAGUUGAAUGUAAUGUUUGUUAUUUGUAGAAUAAGUAAAAAGCCAAACAUUACAAACUCCUGGCUGGUUUUAGAAGGAGGUUUCUGAUAUGUUUUCUCAGUUUGCCAUCACAGUCAUUUACAGUGCCUACUAGUGACAAUUUUCCCAGAUCCCACACUUUUUUUUUCCUAAGGGCUGCAUUUGUAACAUAUGACCUACUCCAAGUGUACUAUGUACUGAUUAUAUAUGGCAUAAUUUUGAUACUAUCUCAGUUGCAUGUUAUCUCAAUCCCCCCCCCUUUUCCAGUGUCUCCAUUUUGUAGCACCAAGUCAACAGGAAAUCUUUGUAAACCAAAAUUUUGAUCUAGAAUGCUGAAAAUGUGAUUUGAAGCACAGAAUCAAGCCUGCUCUAGAAUGAAAGCAAGUUAUCUGUAGUACUUUCUCUCUCUGGCCACAAGAGGGCAUUGAAGCAGCACAAUUCUAAAAAUGUCUCUCCUCGGGAGGAGUCUUUAAAGGAACAAUUCACCCAAAAUCAAAGUAUAUAUUGUUUUCCUACCUCAAGAAACCGAUAGCACAGCAAUCUAUCCAGAUUGUUUUAGUGUGAUUUGAAUAUUAGCUGCUUAAGUGGCAUUUGAUUUGUGGCACUCAAAGCAUCAAAAACCUUCAGUUUAAGUUUCUCUUCUGAAGUGGAACGUAAACAUAACUUGAUCACAAACCACAUGAAGAGCUUCUUUUUGUGCAGAUAUACCUGCCUUUCCCUUGGUGAUGGAGGGUGUGUUUGUUAUUUUGUAGGCCAAAAUAAUGAAUAAUUACCUCUGUCUGCUGUCAUCUUUUAAAAAAAGGACAAGGACUAUUUCCUCAUAAAAUACACAAUUGUUGAACUAAUGGACACUUUAUUUCAAACUGGCACUGAAUAAGUGACUAAUAUCAAAAAGAAGCAUCAAUAGAUACAUCAAUAAGGCACAGAGGGCAUCACAAAAAUAUCCCUUGCCAUGACUGUGGAGAGACCCGUUAAUCAUCUGAUAAAAUCUCAGAAUCUAAAACUUCAACAGAAUAAAUACAAUUUCAGUCCAAGUCAAGCCAAAGAAAGUGAUAGCAGUGGAAUGCAGCUUCUUAUUUUCACUAGUAAGCCAGUGAGUGAUAUCAAAAAUGUAUCUAUCCACUUUUCUCCACACUCAUGAUCCAUCUAUACUACCUACUUAACCAGAUUUUUUAAGCUUACAGAUCACAAUGAAUAGAAAAGGUUCCUUAAUAUA
Siniperca chuatsi (mandarin fish) is the source of this 1703-nucleotide long non-coding RNA. RefSeq lists it as uncharacterized. NCBI's taxonomy places the organism in Eukaryota, Metazoa, Chordata, Actinopteri, Centrarchiformes, Sinipercidae. The record is from RefSeq and is a predicted model, not a curated record. The transcript has 2 exons.